This 76-nucleotide transfer RNA is filed under the name Betaproteobacteria bacterium. RNAcentral describes it as "tRNA-Thr". It matches the Rfam family "tRNA". From Rfam's summary of the family: Transfer RNA (tRNA) molecules are approximately 80 nucleotides in length. The record is from RNAcentral. Lineage: Bacteria; Pseudomonadati; Pseudomonadota; Betaproteobacteria.
GCCGGCAUAGCUCAGUUGGUAGAGCAGCUGAUUUGUAAUCAGGAGGUCCCGAGUUCGAUUCUUGGUGCCGGCAUCA